This is an RNA transcript of Hemicordylus capensis (graceful crag lizard), 2223 nucleotides long. It is a transcript of the gene named vomeronasal type-2 receptor 26-like, with no coding region annotated. The record is from RefSeq and is a predicted model, not a curated record. The transcript is spliced from 7 exons. Lineage: Eukaryota; Metazoa; Chordata; Lepidosauria; Squamata; Cordylidae.
AGCAGGAAGCUGAGGUUAGUUGAGCAGAUGGGAUGAACGGAAGAAAAUCAAAUAUGAAUUAAUCAGUUGGGCCAUGGAGAGGGAGGAAAACCUCUUUCUAGUUGUUCAAAAAGGCAGUGGACCCUGGAGAUUUAGGAAAGAAAAUGUUGGGUGACAGACACAUUUGAACUUGAACAUUCAUCUACUGGUGACUUUUCAAUUCCAUUUUCAUAUGAGGAAGAUGCAAGAAGAGCCAGGGAGUUGGUCCACUGAGGGCUGCAGAAUGGUGACAAAGCUCUACCAGCAUGUCCUGGCCAUGGUGUUUGCUGUAAAUGAAGUCAACAAGAACACCAAGAACUUGCCCAAUGUCACACUUGGCUUCCACAUCUACGACAGCUACUAUGAUGCAAAGAUGACCACGCGUGCCACUCUGGACCUUCUCUUCAAAUUGCACAAAUUUGUCCCCAAUUACAAAUGCGAUACCAAAAAAAACCUCAUAGCCAUCAUUGGAGGACUUGGCUCUGACAUCUCUUUUUGCAUGGCAGAUAUCUUGAGUCUCUACAAGAUUCCACAGUUCACAUGUGGCUCAUUUCCCCAAGAAGAGAGCAACACAGCACAGGUCUCGUCCUUUUACCACACGGUCCCAAAUGAAAUUCAUCAGGAUCUGGGGAUUAUCCAGUUGCUUAAGCAUUUUGGAUGGACAUGGGUUGGGCUAUUGGCUGAGGACAAUGACAGUGGGGAAUGUUUCUUGAAGACUUUGGAGCCAUUGCUCUCCCAGAAUGGAAUAUGUUCAGCAUUCACAGUGCGAAUCCCACAACAGUCCAGUAGGAACAACAUAGAUGAGCUAAACAGUAUGGCUAGAAAUAUUUACCAAACUUUCUUGGGUACCAAAUCCAGAGUCUUUGUCGUCUAUGGUGAAACUAUGACUAUUUUAUGCCUGACCGGUUUAAUGUUUCUAGCCACUCCAGAACUUAAACAAAACACAUCUUUUGGGAAAGUGUGGAUUAUGACAGCCCAGACUGAUUUCCCAGUAAUGACCUUUUUCAGGAAUCUUCAAAUGUUCCAUGGAACUAUUUCCUUUGCGAUUCACUCAGACGAUUGUCCAGGAUUCCAGAUUUACCUUCAGAACACAAAACCUUACUGGACACAAGGAGAUGGUUUUUUCAAGGAUUUUUGGGAGCAAGCAUUUAGCUGUUCAUUUCCAAAUCCCAGUGUGCCAAAUGAAGAUAAAAUAUGUAUUGGGGAGAAGAAUUUGGGGACCCUUCCUGCAUCUGUAUUUGACAUGCAUAUGCUUGGCCAUAGCUACAAUAUAUAUAACGUUGUCUAUGCUGUGGCGCAUGCUUUGCAGACCAUAGAUACAUCUAAAUCCAGCCACAGGGCAAUGAAGAGCAAAAAUGCUGAACUUCAAGAUCUCCGCCCUUGGCAGCUCCACCCAUUUCUUCAAGGUGUUUCCUUUAACAACUCAGUUGGAGAAAGAGUGUCCUUUGAUGAGAACAGGGAAAUGGGAACUGGAUUUGAUAUUAUGAAUGUGCUCAUAUACCCAAAUAGUUCCUCCCUUAAAGUGAAAGUUGGAAGAGUGGAUUCCAAGGAAGGAAAACAUUUCAUCAUUAGUGAGGAUAUAAUUGUGUGGCAAAGAGGUUUUAAUGAGAGCUGUGAGGAAGUCAAAGAAAAGUUAUUCAACAGACACAAGACUACUAUGGACCACCAUCUGGCCAUCUCUGAUGCAAUCAGUUGAGGCACUCAGUUGAGUAGUCCAUUCCUCCAGUAUUAUCCUCAGCUAAGAAACUGACUGACAACAUUAAUUUCUUCCAAUCAACUCAUGAAAGUAUUGGCAGAUUUUCUUCCCCUUACAUCAUAUUCUGUGCUUCCUCUUUCUCAGUGCACUGACUCCUGCAAACCCGGUUAUCAGAAGAAAAUGAAGGAGGGGGAGAAAUUUUGUUGCUACGAUUGUGCUGCAUGCCCAGAAGGAAAGAUUUCUAACUAGAAGGACAUGAAUGAUUGUAUCCAGUGCCCAGAAGAUCAUCAUCCAAGCCAGGCCUCAGAUAGAUGCAUUCCCAAAUUUAUAACUUUUCUAUCUUAUGAAGAACCUAUAGGGAUUAUUUUCAUGACAGUGGCCAUUUGUUUGUCAUUGAUCACAGUUUGGAUACUAAGAACUUUUAUUAAACUCAAGGAUACCCCCAUAGUCAAAGCCAACAACAGAGAUAUCACCUACGCUCUCCUCGUCUCCCUCCUCCUCUGCUUCCU